Manis javanica (Malayan pangolin) is the source of this 232-nucleotide small nucleolar RNA. RefSeq annotates it as small nucleolar RNA SNORD17. NCBI's taxonomy places the organism in Eukaryota, Metazoa, Chordata, Mammalia, Pholidota, Manidae. The record is from RefSeq and is a predicted model, not a curated record.
GUGAAAUGAUGAUUUGGUUUAUCCAUUCGCUGAGUGCCUGCACUGACCUUCCUAGCUUCAGUUCCUGUUCUAGGAACUUGGGGCUUUGUAGCCUCCAAAUGCCCUGCGGUCUGCGGUGUUCUACCACGGACAGUUGUGGAUUGGUGGACUACCGGUAGGAAUGGUUGGUGUCAGCAGGGUUGGGUCCCUCUGGGUCCCAUCUCACCAAGAUGAGUGGUGGAAAUCUGAUCAC